Molecule: long non-coding RNA, 523 nt
Filed under: Nicotiana benthamiana
Lineage: Eukaryota; Viridiplantae; Streptophyta; Magnoliopsida; Solanales; Solanaceae
Description: long non-coding RNA (NBEN_LNC024876)
Source: RNAcentral
UUUCUCUCUCUCUAAACCCUAACCCUCCCAAUCCCUCUCUUCUUCUUCUUCUUCUUCUUCACUCAUCCCACUUCCGCCAUCUACAUUCCCCUUACCAGUCUGCUUUUAAUGUAUGCUACUCACCUCUCCCCUCUCUCUUCUUUUUGUUUUUGGUUGUAGUUUCUUCUACUUUAAUGUUGUUAUGAAGUAGUACUUGUAGUAGAGUUUUGUUAGUUUCUUCUUGUUUUUCUUUUGCAUUUUGUUUUGAGACUGGUUGGUGAAGGGGUUGUGUGUUUAUUGUGGUGGAGAGGUGUAUGUUGGUAGGUGUUGAAUGAAGUAGUGUGGGGUGUGAUGGUGUAGUAGUAUAUCUGAUUUGGGAGGAUUUCGAUGUAUCCAUGCAGGCUAUAUGUGCUAGGAUAGUGCCUCGCCCACAAGGUGUUUGAGAAAUUGCCUUAAUAGAGUUAUAAGGGCUAAUGUGACACGGUUGUGGUGAAGUCUGAGUAACCACCCAUAGUCACACAUUUCACACACUCGUUAAUAGGCG